GCCACAUUACAAGAGCCAGUCGGGUGCGGCGCCAGCGCGACUCCGUGUCGUCGACUCCCGCAGCAGGAGGGCCGGGUGCCUCCCCCCCCCCCCCCCCAGAACCCCACCCGCCCAGUGAUGACCGCAGCGAGGCACUGGCUUCCCAAGCGGCUGCGGGCCUGCGCGCAUCCUUUGCUGUUUUAGCCGAACGGAGAGAAAAGGUCCGGAGGUGAUGGAUCGCAUCAAGGCGCGGGCAUCGCACCGGUUGAUCUUCAGACCCCAGGCGUUCGGCCAACCAGCAGUGGCAUCGCCACAGUGGAACAACGCGCCUCAGAGCAACGACGUCGAGAUGAGGGACUUGGAAGGCAGUCGCGAGGACGCCGUUAUGGCGUCCGUAAGUGACAGCGACGUCGAGAUGGAGGACGUCUCGGCUCAGCCGGUGCAACUCAACAGCAACAACAAAGUGGCAGUGGCGUCAGCGUCUCCGUGGUGUCGCCUGUGCGCCAUCCUGGCGACGAGCAGGAACGAGACGCACGGUGCUGGUCCUCCCGGCGUCCUCCAUAACGGCUCGACGACCGGCACGAAUGUGGCCACUAUGGGACGGCGCCUAGGUGGCCGCGGUGCGCGUUGAGACCGCACGUCUUCGGCGGUCGCGGCGUCGCUAAGAUCCACAGUCGAGUUCAAAAAUUGCGAUUAAGCACGGCGCGCCAUCCCAAAGGCUAAAUUUCAAUACAACCACGCUAUGAACCUAAAUAUGUGCACUGUA
This is a long non-coding RNA of Dermacentor albipictus, 745 nucleotides long. RefSeq lists it as uncharacterized. Lineage: Eukaryota; Metazoa; Arthropoda; Arachnida; Ixodida; Ixodidae. The record is from RefSeq and is a predicted model, not a curated record.